UGAGUAACACGUAAGUAAUCUGCCUUCGAAUGGGGAAUACCUUCGGGAAACCGAAGAUAAUACCGCAUAAUGCAGCGGCACCGCAAGGUGACAGUUGUUAAAGGAGCAAUCCGCUUGAAGAGGAGCUUGCGGCAGAUUAGCUAGUUGGUAAGGUAACGGCUUACCAAGGCUACGAUCUGUAUCCGGUCUAAGAGGACGGUCGGACACACUGACACUGAAUAACGGGUCAG
Molecule: ribosomal RNA, 230 nt
Filed under: uncultured bacterium
Lineage: Bacteria
Description: partial 16S ribosomal RNA
Rfam family: Bacterial small subunit ribosomal RNA
Source: RNAcentral